GGAGUUAGCCGGUGCUUCUUCUGUGAGUGAUGUCCUUCCUGCCGGCUAUUAACCCGCAGGCCUUCUUCCUCACUGAAAGUGCUUUACAACCCGAAGGCCUUCUUCACACACGCGGCAUGGCUGGAUCAGGGUUGCCCCCAUUGUCCAAUAUUCCCCACUGAUGCCUCCCGUAGGAGUCUGGGCCGUGUCUCAGUCCCAGUGUGGCUGAUCAUCCUCUCAGACCAGCUACGGAUCGUCGCCUUGGUGAGCCGUUACCUCACCAACCAGCUAAUCCGACAUAGGCUCAUCCGAUAGCGCGAGGCCCGAAGGUCCCCCGCUUUCCCCCGUAGGGCGUAUGCGGUAUUAGCCUGGGUUUCCCCAGGUUAUCCCCCACUACCGGGCAGAUUCCUAUGCAUUACUCACCCGUCCGCCGCUCGCCACCAGGGAGCAAGCUCCCCGUGCUGCCGCUCGACUUGCAUGUGUUAGGCCUGCCGCCAGCGUUCAAUCUGAGCCAUGAUCAAACUCUGA
This 507-nucleotide ribosomal RNA is filed under the name uncultured bacterium. RNAcentral's name for it is "partial 16S ribosomal RNA". The record is from RNAcentral.